This 717-nucleotide long non-coding RNA is filed under the name Taeniopygia guttata (zebra finch). Its description in RNAcentral is "lncRNA (ENSTGUG00000022297.1)". The record is from RNAcentral. Lineage: Eukaryota; Metazoa; Chordata; Aves; Passeriformes; Estrildidae.
GUUAAAGGCCUAUUGUGACAACACAGGGCUAAAACACACACACACAGGGUGGUUACCAAGCUGUGAUAGGAGUCAUCACAGUCACCAAGCUGUGAUGGCAUCAGGAGCACUGCUUUCCUGGCUCCAGAGCAGUGCUGUUUUGCAGGGUUUGGGUUCUUUAAAUGAUCUUUAAGCAUCCAAAGUGAUGGUACCCACUGGCUUUCUGGAGGGUCACAACCAGGCUGAAUGCAACAGGAUUCCACAGUGCUCCACACAACAUUCAAGAAAUAGACGACUCAAGCCAACUCCUACAACAAUUAAAGUCUCCAGUACUAUGCCCAGUAGAAUCCACAAUGAAACUUCUGCCAAGCCUCAUCCAAGUGCUGGCCUAGGAAAGCAAGAGAGAAAUUCCCUUAGUUUGCAGAAGAAACAGUGAUCAGAUACAAAGGUUGAAGGACCAAGAGAUCCCCUUCAGCUCCUUUUCCUUGAGGUUGUUUAUUAUACCCCUGAGGGAACGGACCCUGAACUAAAUCUUUUUUUCAUGUCCUAGCACAUGGCAACUCAGAAACCAGUGGGGUUUCCAGGCAACUGCUGCAUUCUCUUGAGAAAGCAGCAUCUCCAGCCUGCUUUGCCCCUAGAAAUACUUCACUCAAACCAUGCAUGAAUGGCAAAGAUGUAUCUGGAUGUUCAUAGAAUAAAUGACACAAACUGCUGUCAUAGCUUGAAGUCUGUUUUCAC